UGGGGAAUAUUGCACAAUGGGCGAAAGCCUGAUGCAGCAACGCCGCGUGAGUGAUGAAGGCCUUCGGGUUGUAAAGCUCUGUCUUUUGGGACGAUAAUGACGGUACCAAAGGAGGAAGCCACGGCUAACUACGUGCCAGCAGCCGCGGUAAUACGUAGGUGGCAAGCGUUGUCCGGAUUUACUGGGCGUAAAGGAUGCGUAGGCGGAUUUUUAAGUGAGAUGUGAAAACCCUAAGCUUAACUUGGGGACUGCAUUUCAUACUGGAAAUCUAGAGUGCGGGAGAGGAGAAUGGAAUUCCUAGUGUAGCGGUGAAAUGCGUAGAGAUUAGGAAGAACACCAGUGGCGAAGGCGAUUCUCUGGACCGUAACUGACGCUGAGGCAUGAAAGCGUGGGUAGCAAACAGGAUUAGAUACCCUGGUAGUCCACGCCGUAAACGAUGAGUACUAGGUGUAGGAGGUAUCGACCCCUUCUGUGCCGCAGUUAACACAAUAAGUACUCCGCCUGGGAAGUACGAUCGCAAGAUUAAAACUUAAAGGAAUUGACGGGGGUCAU
This 552-nucleotide ribosomal RNA is filed under the name uncultured bacterium. RNAcentral's name for it is "partial 16S ribosomal RNA". It matches the Rfam family "Bacterial small subunit ribosomal RNA", at positions 355 to 923 of the family's 1533-position model. The record is from RNAcentral.